RNAcentral lists this ribosomal RNA (20 nucleotides) under Golovinomyces asterum var. solidaginis. Its description in RNAcentral is "partial 18S ribosomal RNA". The record is from RNAcentral. Lineage: Eukaryota; Fungi; Ascomycota; Leotiomycetes; Helotiales; Erysiphaceae.
GCAGUGCGGAAGGAUCAUUA